UACGUAGGGGGCUAGCGUUGUCCGGAAUCACUGGGCGUAAAGGGCGCGUAGGCGGCCUGAUAAGUAGGGGGUGAAAUCCUGCGGCUUAACCGCAGGGCUGCCUUCUAAACUGUCAGGCUUGAGCACAGUAGAGGCAGGUGGAAUUCCCGGUGUAGCGGUGGAAUGCGUAGAGAUCGGGAAGAACAUCAGUGGCGAAGGCGGCCUGCUGGGCUGUUGCUGACGCUGAGGCGCGACAGCGUGGGGAGCAAACAGG
Molecule: ribosomal RNA, 253 nt
Filed under: uncultured bacterium
Lineage: Bacteria
Description: partial 16S ribosomal RNA
Rfam family: Bacterial small subunit ribosomal RNA
Source: RNAcentral